Molecule: long non-coding RNA, 281 nt
Organism: Xiphophorus couchianus (Monterrey platyfish)
Lineage: Eukaryota; Metazoa; Chordata; Actinopteri; Cyprinodontiformes; Poeciliidae
Exons: 3
Source: RefSeq, a predicted model, not a curated record
AUUGUUGAAUAAACAGACGUCAAAGUUCAACAGAAAUUUAUUUAUAGUUUAAUCUUCAGGUUCUUCAAUCAUCAGAUUUCCAGAGUUUCUCUGAUCGUUCAUGGAGAUUCUUCAGAAAUGUAGAAAUGUGACAUAAGCAUUAGCUGCUACGCGUUUAGCAUGGAGAUGCUAUUUUAGGCUAGCAUAGCUUUGCUAACAGGCUAUCUCCUUUUACCACAACCUGAACACAACAACAGUCUUUUCCAGCAUCAGAUCAUCAGUGGAAGUAUAAAUGAACCCCC